This 216-nucleotide ribosomal RNA is filed under the name uncultured bacterium. Its description in RNAcentral is "partial 16S ribosomal RNA". It matches the Rfam family "Bacterial small subunit ribosomal RNA", at positions 524 to 737 of the family's 1533-position model. The record is from RNAcentral.
UACAGAGGUCUCGAGCGUUGUUCGGAUUCAUUUGGGCGUAAAGGGUGCGUAGGUGGCGCUGUAAGUCGGGUGUGAAAUCCUGAGGCUUAACCUCGGAACUGCAUUCGAUACUGCGGCGCUUUGAGGACUGGAGAGGAGACUGGAAUUUACGGUGUAGCAGUGAAAUGCGUAGAUAUCGUAAGGAAGACCAGUGGCGAAGGCGGGUCUCUGGACAGU